GACAGAGGCCCCAAGCGUUAGGCGGAAUCAUUGGGCGUAAAGCGCGUGUAGGCGGUCCGGUAAGUCCGCUGUGAAAGUCGAGGGCUCAACCCUCGAAUGCCGGUGGAUACUGUCGGGCUUGAGUACGGGAGAGGCGAGUGGAAUUCCUGGUGUAGCGGUGAAAUGCGCAGAUAUCAGGAGGAACACCGAUUGCGAAGGCAGCUCGCUGGAACGUUACUGACGCUGAGACGCGAAAGCGUGGGGAGCAAACAGG
RNAcentral lists this ribosomal RNA (253 nucleotides) under uncultured bacterium. RNAcentral's name for it is "partial 16S ribosomal RNA". It matches the Rfam family "Bacterial small subunit ribosomal RNA", at positions 524 to 776 of the family's 1533-position model. The record is from RNAcentral.